RNAcentral lists this ribosomal RNA (819 nucleotides) under uncultured eukaryote. RNAcentral's name for it is "SSU rRNA". It matches the Rfam family "Eukaryotic small subunit ribosomal RNA", at positions 629 to 1426 of the family's 1831-position model. The record is from RNAcentral.
CGGUGUUUAACUGGCGUGAUGUGGGACGUCCUACCGGUGGGCUUAGCCUCGCGAGGGGCGGCCCAACUAAUAUCCCGUCGCGGUGCUCUUUACUGAGUGUCGAGUCGGGCCGGUACGUUUACUUUGAACAAAUUAGAGUGCUUAAAGCAGGCUAUCCUCGCCUGAAUACUGCGUGCAUGGAAUAAUGGAAUAGGACCUCGGUUCUAUUUUGUUGGUUUUCGGAACCCCGAGGUAAUGAUUAAUAGGGACAGAUGAGGGCAUUCGUAUUGCGACGUUAGAGGUGAAAUUCUUGGAUCGUCGCAAGACGGACAGAAGCGAAAGCAUUUGCCAAAAAUGUUUUCAUUAAUCAAGAACGAAAGUUAGAGGUUCGAAGGCGAUCAGAUACCGCCCUAGUUCUAACCAUAAACGAUGCCAGCUAGCGAUCCGCCGAAGUUCCUCCGAUGACUCGGCGGGCAGCUUCCGGGAAACCAAAGCUUUUGGGUUCCGGGGGAAGUAUGGUUGCAAAGCUGAAACUUAAAGGAAUUGACGGAAGGGCACCACCAGGAGUGGAGCCUGCGGCUUAAUUUGACUCAACACGGGAAACCUCACCAGGCCCAGACACCGGAAGGAUUGACAGAUUGAUAGCUCUUUCUUGAUUCGGUGGGUGGUGGUGCAUGGCCGUUCUUAGUUGGUGGAGCGAUUUGUCUGGUUAAUUCCGAUAACGAACGAGACUCUAGCCUGCUAAAUAGGCGUACCUUAUGGUAUCGCGAAGGCCCCCGGCUUCGGCCGGUGGGUUUUUACUACCAACGUACAAACAAAUCUUCUUAGAGGGACAGGCGG